RNAcentral lists this long non-coding RNA (238 nucleotides) under Elaeis guineensis (African oil palm). RNAcentral describes it as "long non-coding RNA (EGUI_LNC049932)". Lineage: Eukaryota; Viridiplantae; Streptophyta; Magnoliopsida; Arecales; Arecaceae. The record is from RNAcentral.
GUGUGGGGUGUUCUGGAUAUGAUGAAAUAUGUAUAGAGGUUAUGAGUGGUCAAUAAGGAAUCGAUCACCCCUAAUAAGGAAAGUGAACAUCCUAUGUGAUCUCAUAGGUUGAUAAUUCUGAAAGUCUUUGGCCAACGCAGGAUGAUAAUUAGAAAAGAGUUUCUAAUGUAUCAUCAACUGAAUCAUCAUCUGCGGUGUUAUUUGACUGAAGGAUUGAAUUGGAUGAUAAUUUACCACU